AAGCGCAUAGCUCAGUGGCAGAGCAUUUGAUUGAUAGUCAAGAGGUCAGCAGUUCAAACCUGCUUGCGCUUA
Molecule: transfer RNA, 72 nt
Filed under: Thraustochytrium aureum
Lineage: Eukaryota; Bigyra; Thraustochytrida; Thraustochytriidae
Description: tRNA-Ile
Rfam family: tRNA
About the family: Transfer RNA (tRNA) molecules are approximately 80 nucleotides in length. Their secondary structure includes four short double-helical elements and three loops (D, anti-codon, and T loops).
Source: RNAcentral